CUGGAAGUCCCAGUUGCAGUAGGCACAAGCCAAGACAUUGUGGCUGAAUACUAGACCACAGAAAGUGAAUGAGUUAGAAGACUACAUUCUACUCCUCAUCACUGGUGGCAGGAACCUUGUGUGGAAGAUUCAGUAGAUCAAGAAAAGCUCCCACUUCUUUCUGGGAAGAGAACUGGGGUGUGUGGAGAACUGAUUAAAAACAGGAAGGAUGGAGGGAAGCACAUUCUUUGCUCCUGUAACUUAAUUACAAACUCACAAACUUAACCAUAUUGCCAUGGUCUAGUAUCACCACAACCUGGCAGAUGCCACUGACUGAAAACACAGAUCUACUUUAAAAUGUUGAAAAGAAGAAAUUCUCAGUGUUCCUAUCAGCAUCUAUGCUACAUAAUUUCUUUCUUGUCCCAUAUGUAAACAGACAGGAAUUAUCAAGAAUGGAAGGCUAUGUCAAGGUUGCAGAAAGAACUAUGAAACUGUGAAGCUGAUUGGUUGACUAAUUCAAGGGAUGAAGUAUGAAUUAAUCUUAUAUGAAAAAAUAGGAAUUCAUACUGUAAAAAAGCAAGUAUUUUAAUAUUAAAGAACAAAAAUACAAGAAAAAA
This is a long non-coding RNA of Anas platyrhynchos (mallard), 596 nucleotides long. RefSeq lists it as uncharacterized. The record is from RefSeq and is a predicted model, not a curated record. Lineage: Eukaryota; Metazoa; Chordata; Aves; Anseriformes; Anatidae.